RNA transcript from Salvia hispanica, 2248 nucleotides. RefSeq lists it as uncharacterized. The record is from RefSeq and is a predicted model, not a curated record. Lineage: Eukaryota; Viridiplantae; Streptophyta; Magnoliopsida; Lamiales; Lamiaceae.
CAUUUGGAUGUGUAUAUAAAUAAUUUGUGAAUAAGAAGAAGAGAAGCAGAAACUAGAGAGAAAAGAAAAAAGAAAGAAAGAAAAGCGUGGGGAGAAUGGUGAGUGAAGUAGUAGCAGAAAGAAAGAUCCAUAUCACAACACUUGUACGGCUACUUGAAGAAGAUCCAUAUCUUGUCCAUGGAAUCUCGUUUCCAUGUUCGAGAAAUCUUCUACACAUAGCGGCAAUGCAUGGACAAACAUCCAUCGUUGAAGUGGUCGUUAACCUCACCCGCAGCUAGCUUGGAUUUUAGACUCCCAAAAGUUGUCGCCAUGAAAGGGCACGUUGAGAUUUGUCAAAAGCUGUUAUCAGUAGCCCCAGAGGCUUGCUGGUAGCGAGACUGUCAUGAUAUGAACCCGGUUCAUAUUGCGGCCAUGUUGAGAUCCUGGAAAGUCUCUUUCAAGAGAGUCUUUCGCCUGCUAUGGAGAGGGUGCAUCGCAGAGAGACCGUGCUGCACUUGUGCGUGAAACACGGCCAGCUUAGGACUUUGAAGGUUUUGGUAGAGAAGUUGGGAGAAGAGCUUGUGCAUGCUAUUAGACAAUUAUGCAUUUGGCUGUGAGGUACAACCAAUUUGAGACUGUACAAUAUUUGGUGGAAAACAUCGAAAUAAAGAGCCAAACAUUGAAUUCCAUGGGCAACACAAAUCUUGAAUGAUUCCCCUUGGAACAUAACAGCGAGUUAUUAUGAAAUCAAAAGAGUCUUGUCAAGUUUGAAAGUAGCACCAGUUCACAGUAUGAUGUUGACAGCAUCGAUAGCAUUCCAGAGCACGGUGAACCCACCUGGCGGCGUGUGGCAGGAUGACACGCCAUCACACAAGGCAGGUGAGGCUGUGAUCGCAUACACUCAUCGCCACAUAUACGAUUAUGUGCUAGAACUGAACGUGUUAACGUUCUGUUCAUCCAUCAUCGCACUGACAGUGAACGCCGAUAGCAAAUCUGAUAUGACUUACCUGAGGAUGGGUUGGUCUGCUAUGAAUUUGGCGGUGCUAGCUAUCAUGUUGUGUUAUGCUACAUCGAUAGCUGUGAUCACUCCAGACCCGAUAGAAAAAUCAUUCGAACUCGCCAUCUACAUUGAUGUUAUCUUAUUAAGGAUUUGGUACUGUAGCAUAAGUUACCAGGGAAUAUUUCAUCCUCUACGAGUGUGUUAUUUCAUCUGGAAGAGAAAAACAAGGCGUGCAGAUCAUCUUACUACAGAUCCUAUACACAAACGCAUCCUUUAUCGUAUCUUCCAACGUUUGGAGACGUGGUGGCUUCGUUGGGGACCCAUUCUCAAUUUCUUAUUCUGAAUGUUCCGUAUACUUACCUAUGCUUUAAUUAUUCCACAUCUUUGUAUUUUUCACUUUGACGAAGGAAUAGCUGGAAUAAGAUUUAUUUUUCGCUUAGUACAGGUUGACUUGUUAUUGUAUCAACGACACAAAACCAUUAAUAAAGGAACCAUGGUCUUUUCAGAUAUCUCGGCCUUGCAAACAGAGCACUGUGGACACUCAUCUGGACCAAGGGAAGAGCUUUCAUGGACAUUAUCAUGACUAUUCUUCUUCCUCCACUCGGUGUUUUCCUCAAGUUUGGUUUGGGGUACUUCUAUUUCUCUUUCUAAUUAAAAUUCUUUUCUUUAAUUUGAUAGUAUACAAUUACUAUAAUAUUUAUAUUUGAUUUUGGUGAAAUUAAUAGGUUGAGUUUUGGAUUUGCUCCUUAUUGACGCUUCUUUUAGUUACAUUAAUGGAAUCAUUUAUGCUAUAUAUAUUCUCACCCAGUAGACAUAUUCACCUCCCUCCCUCAUUCUCAGGUAAAUAAAUACUUUUAUUCUCUAUUUCUCACUUUGAUUGAUGUUAAUUUGUAGUCACUACAACUUUAUCUUCUUGAUUUGGAUGGCUAGGGAAGCCUCCACAAAAUUAUGUGGUGUUAAUUGUCCGAUUGUGUACUUUCAUGGGUCUUAUACAUCUUAUGCUUUGCUCUACAGAUGAUCGUUUUAAUACAUAUUGAUUAUUGAUUUUGUUCUUUAUUUUAUUGUAGUUUUAGGUGAGACAGACGAACUUCACCUACGAGUUCUGUUGAAGAGUAACGAAUUGUGAAGAAUUGAAGGUUUUAGUUUAUAAUGAUGCGAUUGAUUUUAAUUUUAAAGUUAAUGUAGUGUAUAAAGAAGGUUUAAAAACGAUGAGUAAUUAUCCAUUGUAUUUAAUUCUUUAUUGUGAUAGAUUUUUAUCUUUCUACUCCA